This 2661-nucleotide long non-coding RNA is filed under the name Equus caballus (horse). RNAcentral describes it as "lncRNA (ENSECAG00000051451.1)". Lineage: Eukaryota; Metazoa; Chordata; Mammalia; Perissodactyla; Equidae. The record is from RNAcentral.
GUCUGAGUAUUUGAGAGGAGGCAGGAUUCCAAGCCCAGAAGCAACCCCUACCCAGCAGCUCUCAGAGCUGAUGUAGAAGGUCAAACCAAUAAGGGUGCCUAUUACCAAGGAGUCCUCUGAUGAUUACUGAGAAGCUUAACCCUUCUCUAUUACCCUAGACUCAGACCUCUCUGCCCAUCCUUCUAAGAAUGACAGUUUCUGGCUCAGUUCUGAGCAGAUGGCCUUCCUGUCAUUUCCCCCUGGCAGAAGCAUCUGCUUUAGGCCUGGUGAAAAUGGGUAAGAGUCUGGAGAAAUACAGCCUAAGGGAGCCCCUGAACACUCCACAGGUCAAUGAUGAGUCCUUCAUCCCUCCCGAGACCACCACUCACUCUUUUCAUCUGCCGAGACCAGGGUUUGGACCACAGGACACCUGCACACUUCCUGCUCAUGAAGUUUAACCAUCCAUGAACUGUUGACGAUCAUCACCAGGACAUUCCCGAACAUCAUCAGAGCCAUUUGUCGUACCUUAUUUAGCAGGACUAAAUAAAAUAUGAGCCUCAGCGUGAUGGAUUUCUGAUGUUGCAUUUUGUCCAGGAGGAAAAAGGCAGGAAGACCAGCGGAAGCCUUGAGCAGGUGUCUGGGAGAUGGAGGAUUUCCAGCUUCUGCUACUGGAUUCACCCUUUGGUCCCCUCCUGGGCUUUCUGCUUUGGCAAAACUUCCCUCCUGGCUGAGACGCUGCAGUAGUUUGGAGAUUUUUAGGUGCUUGUCCAUGCACUCUUCCUUUUUCCCAGAACAUAUUUGUGGAGUUUGAAACACUUUUCCAAAGGGAGUGAGGUGCAGAGAGGGAGGGAAGAUGGGCUCAUGAAAGAGUUAAUAUUCUAAAGUGAGAAGAGCAGAGCCAGAGACAUCUUUGAAGUUAGCCCAACAAUGCACGUGGAUUUUCCUGACAUAACAAAGCUUUCACAUCAAAUAAGACUUUGAAGAUAUUUAGUUUUGAAGUUAGGGUGUUCCACACCCGCAUAUUUAUUGAACAUUUCAGAGUCCAUUGUUGAGCUAAUAUUCUUCUUGUUUCCCUUUCUGGAAAUUCCACGUUGACUCCUAGAUCUGUUCUAGGAUUUGGUCCACCUUAAACUCAUUUCCUCUAUAAGUACUUGCUCCUGGGGAGAAGGGCAAAAAAAAAUCCUCUUCUCUUCAGAUAACAUGCCCUAAGGGGCGUGUGUAGAAAAGGUAAAAUUUUCAUAAAAUUUAUUCUUUAAAAGCCCUUUAAACACAAAUACUCUUUAGCUCUUUGUGAUAGUAAGGUCCCUAAUUAGUGUCAAAUUUUUAGGCAAAACCAGGUGAAGAUUGGCUUGCUGACUAAGGCCUCACAUAAAUUAAGCCACUUCUUUAAGAAAGCAAGCUGGGGGUAGUAAGAAAUUUGACAAUUGAUUACUUUGUUCUCAGCACAUAAGUAUAUCUAUAUAAUGCACAUUAUAAAAUGGAUUUCUCCUGGAAAUGUAUCUUGUUUGUAUAUGUGCUCCCAACCAGUUGGUUAGUUCGGUCAGGGUUUCUCGUCGUCAGCACUAUUGACAUUUGGGGUGGGGUAAUUCUUUGUCAUGGGGGGCUGUCCUGUGCAUUGCAGGAUGUUGAGCAGCAUCACCAGCCUCCUACCAACUAGAUCCCAGUAGCAACUCACACCCCCAGUCCUGACAACCAAAAAUGUCUUCAAAUACUGCCAUCUGACCCCUGGAGGGCAAUUAUAUAAUGAAAAUUAUAAGGAGAACCUCUGGGUUAGGGUUAGGUUAGAACUGAGUCAGGAUCAGAGCUUUGACAAUCCUUAUCACACUAUAUUAAAACAACCAAUUUAUUUAUCAAAUUACCCCAGGAAGCUGUAUUAUUUUCAAGAGCAAGGAUCCAAAGUUUACCACCAUAUUUUCCCAUAGAGAAGCUCAAAAGUGCUUGAUGGGUGAAUGAGUGAACAAAUAUAGAAGAAAUGAUCAAACCCACAAGUGGGGAAGAAGUAUACAGACAGCAUUCUUGAAAAUAAGUUUGGAUUCAGUCAGGGAUCUUGAGGAAAUUUUUUAAAUACUGUUACAGAGAAGAAAGAGAAAACAGAGAUAAGGGCAAAGAGAGAGGCCAUCCUUGCUGGAGACAUCAGUUACCUAGCACAGAGAAGGGCAUAGUAGAAAGAGGUGGCAUUCCGUUUGAAGAACUUGGCACCUCACUGUCACCAAGUGUUCACAAUUGCCCAUUUCUUACCCCUGCUUUGCUUUGACCAAACUCUAGUCAGGUUCCUCUCUUUCCUACAGGCCCCUAAACCUGGCUUGCCCACAACCCUGAGCAAGCACAAAAAAAUGUGGAAUGUCCGUCAUCUGUCCCCGGCCAUCAGCUGCUCCUGGGAACUGGCUGACCACAGCGGGACACUUUCCUGUCAGAUUCCACUGGUCACUUCCCCGUGCUUGUCCAGCUUCCCCUCCAAAGAUCCUGCUUAUCUCUGCCUGUUCCAUAGCAAAAUAUUACCCUAUAAAAGAAAACCCUUUUUCUGUUUGAUUUUAAGACACAUUCAAAUUUCUGCAAUCAGAGCAUUCUCCCUAUUACAAUAGCCUUUCUUCUAAAUAAACCCUCUCCCUAUGGAAGUCCAGAUUUGUUUUUAUUUGACACCAGGUUUCUGAACCUGAGUUUUAUAUUCUGCAAAGGGAAGAG